Jatropha curcas is the source of this 563-nucleotide non-coding RNA. Lineage: Eukaryota; Viridiplantae; Streptophyta; Magnoliopsida; Malpighiales; Euphorbiaceae. The record is from RefSeq and is a predicted model, not a curated record.
AUCUAAUCUCCUCCAGGCCGAAUCCAAAGCUAGAACCUUGCCUCUUCAUCACUGUAAUAGGAAGCUACUGAUCCAACCGACGCUCUGUCAUUUUCCUCGCAGAGCUACAAAAAAAGUAAAUCUAUAACUUUUGUUGUUAUGAAUUAGACUGUAUUAUUAAAUAUGUACGCUUUUCCAUCUCCUAAAUGUUGUUGAACUCCGCAGUUAUAGGGUUGUGUAUUUCGAUAGGGUUUUACCGCAUGCGUUAUUUUAUAAAUGUGAUUUUUUUCAGGACUAGGCCCAUAACUAGAUUUUAAUUGAGAUGUUUGAAAUUGGGCCAGAUAGCAUAAUAUCUGUAUUCUAGUAUGUUUGGGCUUAUUGUUUCUGUUAUUAUUAAUUGGUGUGGCUGAUGUCAGUAGAGUAGUUUAGGCUUACUACGGGCCUCGGGGGCCUUAAGUUUACCUGGGCCCUAGUGCCAGUCCGGCCCACGGAGUCGGGUCGUGACAUUUUUUUUCUUGUAUAUCAAUUUGCAAAAAUCUUGAUAAUCUUUUAUUUGUUCAAUUCUCUAGUAUCAUUUUAACUCA